RNAcentral lists this ribosomal RNA (518 nucleotides) under uncultured eukaryote. Its description in RNAcentral is "SSU rRNA". It matches the Rfam family "Eukaryotic small subunit ribosomal RNA", at positions 477 to 925 of the family's 1831-position model. The record is from RNAcentral.
AUCUUGACGCGACUUUACGGUCGCUGCAUUGGAUGAGUACAAUUUAAACCACUUAACGAGUAUCCAUUGGAGGGCAAGUCUGGGGCCAGCAGCCGCGGUAAUUCCAGCUCCAAUAGCGUAUAUUAAAGUUGUUGCAGUUAAAAAGCUCGUAGUUGAAUUUCAGAGGAGAGCCUGUGGUCUCGCUUCGGCGUGUACUGCGCGGUCUUGAAUCUAACUGCCUGGGGAAACAGGGUGUCCUUUACUGGGCGCCCUGCGAAACCAGGACGAUUACCUUGAGAAAAAUAGAGUGUUCAAAGCAGGCAGCUUGCUUGAAUACGUUAGCAUGGAAUAAUAAAAUAGGACUUUGGUUCUAUUUUGUUGGUUUUAAGGACCAAUGUCAUGAUGAAUAGGGACAGUUGGGGGCAUUCGUAUUCCGAAGCUAGAGGUAAGACCCCGGAGCAUGCCCCAAUCCUGAAAAUUGAUGACUAGUGAUGGCAUCCGUACUCCGAAUUCCCAAGGUACAUCUUCAGCUUUUUAAC